This 465-nucleotide ribosomal RNA is filed under the name Candidatus Peregrinibacteria bacterium. Its description in RNAcentral is "bacterial SSU rRNA". It matches the Rfam family "Bacterial small subunit ribosomal RNA", at positions 1 to 412 of the family's 1533-position model. The record is from RNAcentral. Lineage: Bacteria; Candidatus Peregrinibacteriota.
UUUAUGAAGAGUUUGAUCCUGGCUCAGGAUGAACGCUAGCGGUGCGCCUAACACAUGCAAGUCGAGCGCCCCCACCUUGCUUUUAAAUUCGACGUUAAAAACUCGAAACUCGAAGUCUUUCGAAUUUCGAACUUCGGGUUUAGAGUUUGAAAGUAAGGUGGGGGAGCGGCGAACGGGUGAGUAACACGUUGGAACCUACCCCAGACUCAGGGAUAGCCCGCCGAAAGGUGGAUUAAUACCGGAUAGUCUCGUAAGAGUAAAGCUUUUGCGGUUUGGGAGGGGCCUGCGGCCUAUCAGCUUGUUGGUAAGGUAACGGCUUACCAAGGCAAUGACGGGUAUCUGGUGUGAGAGCAUGACCAGACACAAUGGAACUGAGAUACGGUCCAUACUCCUACGGGAGGCAGCAGUGAGGAAUCUUCCGCAAUGGGCGAAAGCCUGACGGAGCGACACCGCGUGGAGGACGAA